UGUGAACCAUACCAAACUGUUGCCUCGGCGGGGUCACGCCCCGGGUGCGUCGCAGCCCCGGAACCAGGCGCCCGCCGGAGGGACCAACCAAACUCUUUUCUGUAGUCCCCUCGCGGACGUUAUUUCUUACAGCUCUGAGCAAAAAUUCAAAAUGAAUCAAAACUUUCAACAACGGAUCUCUUGGUUCUGGCAUCGAUGAAGAACGCAGCGAAAUGCGAUAAGUAAUGUGAAUUGCAGAAUUCAGUGAAUCAUCGAAUCUUUGAACGCACAUUGCGCCCGCCAGUAUUCUGGCGGGCAUGCCUGUCCGAGCGUCAUUUCAACCCUCGAACCCCUCCGGGGGGUCGGCGUUGGGGACCUCGGGAGCCCCUAAGACGGGAUCCCGGCCCCGAAAUACAGUGGCGGUCUCGCCGCAGCCUCUCCUGCGCAGUAGUUUGCACAACUCGCACCGGGAGCGCGGCGCGUCCACGUCCGUAAAACACCCAACUUCUGAAAUGUUGACCUCGGAUCAGGUAGGAAUACCCGCUGAACUUAAGCAUAUCAAUA
RNAcentral lists this ribosomal RNA (543 nucleotides) under Trichoderma atroviride. RNAcentral's name for it is "eukaryotic LSU rRNA". The stretch from base 161 to 314 matches the Rfam family "5.8S ribosomal RNA". Lineage: Eukaryota; Fungi; Ascomycota; Sordariomycetes; Hypocreales; Hypocreaceae. The record is from RNAcentral.